GGAGCAAGUGGGGAGCCGUGUGCACUCUGCAGGAAGCGAGAGAGACGAGAGCUGAACAGUGUCGAGUGAACGCAGAGUUCCUAGAAGGGCGACAGACAUAUUUUCGGAUUGACGGAUAGUUAACUGGAGUGAAAAGCUGUUGUACCCUACUGUGAGUAGGAGGAGACGGACGUCUUGCUGGCGUGUCAGAGAGGUCCCUUCUACUGGUGUGCUGAAGUUAUGUGUUCACGUGGAGAGGACGACUGAGUGCUGCUGCCGCGGCCUGCUGGUAGCCUUGACCCACUUUCCCCUGCUAUCCCCUUGAACUGCCUGGAGGUUAGUGGUAAAGGCAGUGAACACGGACUCGAUGUAUUUUGGCUUUGUUCAUCGUUGAUACACAGUCUGCAGUCACACCAUACGAAACCACAGAGCCGGUUGCCAUGGGGAUGCUGCAGGGAGCUCCUCAUCCUCCCACCAAUGGGCUUCAGCGAUCUGUUACCGCGGGAAACCUGGCUUGUUGCCUAGGAGACCAGAGACUGUGUGCUCCAGCUUAAAUGAGAGAAAGAGCUGAAACACAGGGCAUAAAAAGGUUCACAGAGAUAUCUGGGAUUACUGGUGUGUGGAGGCAAUAUCGAUCUCUUAAUUGAAAAUUAGAUAUCAGCCAAUGAAUGUAGCAGUUAUAUUGAUUCUGGUGUUAUUGCACUAUUUGUCACGGUUACUGUAUACUGUCUUUGUUUGGUAAUAUAAAAGAAAAAAAACCCAUAAAGACAUGAGUAAAAG
Molecule: long non-coding RNA, 759 nt
Organism: Oreochromis aureus
Lineage: Eukaryota; Metazoa; Chordata; Actinopteri; Cichliformes; Cichlidae
Source: Ensembl